Molecule: long non-coding RNA, 426 nt
Filed under: Prunus persica (peach)
Lineage: Eukaryota; Viridiplantae; Streptophyta; Magnoliopsida; Rosales; Rosaceae
Description: long non-coding RNA (PPER_LNC007337)
Source: RNAcentral
AAACCAUAAUUCUUUUUAUACUUUUGAAUUUUUAAUAUUAAUUUCGACCUUUGAUUGCUUUGCUAGAGUAAAAAAGAAGGGUUUUGUUAAUCAUUCACGUUUAUGGUUCUGCACAUUAAUUAAAUAAAAUUAAAUUGAAAUUCUGAAAGGGGCACUGGACACUGAAAAUGAUGAUGUCACAUGAUGAACGAGCUUUGCCUCUAAGCAAAACACGGGGCACCUCCUAAUUAACCCUAAUUUGUUCUAAUCUAACAUUCGCCGCAUGGCCGGCCUAAAACACAGCCAAAAAAGGGUUUAAUUAGAUUUAAUUAAGUUGUAUUAGGACAGCACGCACAUGUGUCAUGUACUCAUCAUAGAGUCAAUUGGUCAUGCACUUGGUGUGCAUGCACAUUUUCAAUGGCUGAGGAAGCCAUUUUCCCCCCCCUC